CGGGGCCAUCAUUCAAGUUAGAUUGGGAGUCCUUGUGCUUGUUUCUUCCCUUUCUUUCUAUGAUGAGAGCCUCAUGGUGGCUCGAGACACCUUGCUCCUUUCUCCUAGCCUCCUCAUUAAGCAUAUAGUCUUUCACUAUUGCCAAGGCUAUCGAACUAUCUAGUGAAGAAUUGCUUAGAGACACCACCAAAAUCUCCUAACUAUCGAGUAAGAAACUUAACAAUAGUA
Molecule: long non-coding RNA, 228 nt
Filed under: Elaeis guineensis (African oil palm)
Lineage: Eukaryota; Viridiplantae; Streptophyta; Magnoliopsida; Arecales; Arecaceae
Description: long non-coding RNA (EGUI_LNC039665)
Source: RNAcentral